Molecule: long non-coding RNA, 1022 nt
Filed under: Sinocyclocheilus anshuiensis
Lineage: Eukaryota; Metazoa; Chordata; Actinopteri; Cypriniformes; Cyprinidae
Description: lncRNA (ENSSANG00000007149.1)
Source: RNAcentral
CGAGAUCUACUUUCUGUUUCCACGCUUGAGACGCGUCCACAAGUUUGUCAUGAGUACUCGUGAGCGACAGCAGCAGGCGGAGGCGGCUCCCUCCAUGUGUUUACAGCCACUGAACUGACGCGUCGCGUCUCAGCGCGCAGAGCUGCGCCUCAACCCACUUUCUGCCGCUUUCCUGUGCGCUUCACAGGAAUGGAAAACAUACUUAUAGUUUCCGACGACGGGGCGUACAUCCAUGAACUAUGUCUAAGAAAGUAGAUUGUUGUUGUAUUAAUAUUAUUAUUUAUGAUCAUGGCGGCGUCGCAGCGCGCGAGGAACUCUGAACUUAAACAGAGCGAAACAUGGAAGCGUCACAUUAUUAGACAGCUGAAAUAUCGCAACAGGACCCAGACGAGCGUCUUCCAGGAUAUUAUAGAGUCAUAUUACAGUCUGCUGGAAAAGUCCAAGCAAAGAGCCCUCAUAACCAAAGGCAUUCUGGGAUCAGGGUCAAGGCCCUCGCUAUCUGAAGAUUCGCGGACGUCUCUGAAGACAACCACCGGGGAGCUUGCGUACCAAGUGGUGGAACUGCAGCAGAGAAUCCAGAUAAAGGAAGUGACACUGGAUGAACAGCAUACCAAGCUGUAUGAGGUCCAAAACCAUCUCAGUGUUUUGGCGUCAGAGCACAGCGUGCUUCAGGAACACGUGGCAGAGGUGCAGACUAGGAACCGACUUCUGAAACAAAAAUAUGAUUCUCUGCUGGAGCAGCACCGGAACAUGGAGAGCACGUACCGGCAAGAGAAACUCCGCAGCUCAGAGAUCCUGGAGAACAUGAUCCUUCCGAAACAGCAGGCUGCUGUCCGCAUGAACCAUCACAAUGAGAAGAGAGUGAGGUCAGAGGUGAAAUGUGGAAUUGCUGCACCAUUAGAAUGACCAAAUCAAAUCCCCAAAAAAUGCACUCUUGCAUUGAUUUUGCACAAUGGAUUUAAAGGGAAGUGAAAUGAAAAUUCUGUCAUCAUUUACUCAACCUCAUGCUUUUCCAAAACCGA